RNAcentral lists this unclassified non-coding RNA (669 nucleotides) under Hevea brasiliensis (rubber tree). Lineage: Eukaryota; Viridiplantae; Streptophyta; Magnoliopsida; Malpighiales; Euphorbiaceae. The record is from RNAcentral.
GUAAGAGAUUAGCAACAAGCUAUAAGAAAAUUUUAAUUCGUAACAAUAAAUGCAUAAUUCUUUUUUAUACUCUACUUGGGUAUUUUGUUUCUUCCAAGUGUUAAUACAGUGCUUCUUACAAAGGCCUUCAUCAUGUAUGCAUCUCCUUCAUCUUUUGUCUGCUCAAUGCUUUUGUUUUUUUGAGGCCUCUAAAGCCACCACUGCUUUAAUGCCUUUAGGGUUGAGCCGCGGCGGGAGACAAGAGCUGAGCAUUACCAUUCCAUGACGAAGAUGUUACUUGUAAUUCUACAGCAAAUUACGUAUUCAAACAUGGUACAAAAUGAAUUUGAUUCGAGCAAGGGCAGUAGAAAAGGACGCGAUAUUUGUUUUCAUUUGAAUGUUGAACGUCUAGGCUCAAAAUCGACCUGCCCGAAUAUCUCUGUCAAUAUGUUCUGCAUUGAGGGUUCCUGGAAGCUCUCGAAAAUCUUCAUUGAAUACAGAAUAUGCACUAAGUUCUCCCUGCUUCCGGUGUCCAAGAUUAUAAAAGAUGAGGCCAAACCCAGUCGCCAGUAAAAAUAAAGGUGCAACCUCAUAUCUUCGCGCAAUAGAGGCCAGAAUGAACCAAGUCAUGAUAAUAACCCAAACCUUUGGACUGAUGGAGAAAAUUACCAUCAAGAGCAUAUCUGGAAA